This is a long non-coding RNA of Ictalurus punctatus (channel catfish), 1363 nucleotides long. RefSeq lists it as uncharacterized. The record is from RefSeq and is a predicted model, not a curated record. The transcript is spliced from 3 exons. NCBI's taxonomy places the organism in Eukaryota, Metazoa, Chordata, Actinopteri, Siluriformes, Ictaluridae.
UUUAUUUUUUUAUUUUAUUUUUUUUUUUUUACACUUGUGCCUGGUUUUCGCAUUUUACAUGUACAUCUAUUCAUUUAGCAGACGCUUUUAUCCAAAGUGACUUACCAAUGAGGAAAUACAAGCAAAACGAUAUAUCAAGCGGAGACCAAUACAAGUGGUGCUACCAUACGAGAUCUUUUAAUUGAGUUCUAGAAAAGCAAAGUGCACAGAGUAGAGGUGCAAGUGCCAGAUUGCUGCUGAAACCCGCUGAACAGCAGGUGACAAGUCUGCAAGUGAAUAAUCCUAAAAUAAUAUCAUUUAAAAUCUCAUUCUAAUCACAUAACAUUCACUGCUUGAAAUUUUGACCCAUGAGACCACAGUGUUUUUAAUUAUACACGUGCGAUUCACAGGAGCUGCUGUGAUGCGCAGGAUGGCACAAUGCACUGGUCAUCUCAGCCAGAGUCCAGUGAACCUUCACCCUCCAGAAACACAGGAAACAAGUCACAAAAACAGCAUUCAGAUUUCUCCCGACACCGCUGUAAUGAUCCAGAGCCAUUCAUAUCACUUCCACACCUUUAGUGCUGACACAUAUAUGCAUCUAGAAUGACACAACCAUAAAAUAUAAGAAACUCACUUGUGUUAUUGUAUUCAUGUUUUUUUUUUUUUUGGUCCAACGUAUAGAACAUGACAGGGCCAAAGGCACCAACCACUUCUGUCCUAUUAAAUGUUUGGCCUGUCAAUUAAAAAAUAAAAAUAAAAAAGCACAAAACAAGCACAAAAGUUUCACAUAAGGUCAAAAUCUAUAUAUGCAUAUGCAUGUACAUAUCACUAAGUUUCAAGAUACAUCUUUUGUAACCUUAUUACCUACAUAUCUAAACUGUGGGGAUUUGUUUUGUUUUGAGUUUUUUUUGCUUGCUUGUUUUGGUUUGUGGGGAGGUUUGUUUUCUUUUUGUUUCCUUCUCUUCUCUUCGGUGAUUGAUUCUGUCAUUAAAACUGUACUAAAUCGGUACAACACUAGAUGGCAGCCUGAUUAAUGAGAAUCUCACCCUCUCUGUCAGGCUAAGUCUCUAUAGAAGUGUGCAGGCACACACACACACACAAUUCAAGCCAUUUAUUAACUUCGCACUGUUUUGUCUGCAGACUGCCUACUCAUCUAUUUAGUAAAAAAUAAAAAUUCACUACAUCAGGCAGAGCACAUAACUGCAAGAUAGCACCACAAUGACUUCAUAUUGUUUGUGAUCAAGAUACAUAUAUCACACCAAUGGAUCUUCUGCUCACAUUUAGAGGCAAAAGCAGCAUGAAUGGUGGUCAUGCCCAGAAUAAGUAUGGAUGCCCAUUUAUAAUGGUAAAUGAAAUGAGUAUCUGCUAUUGAUUUAGAAAUGUG